UGAACGCUGGCGGCAGGCCUAACACAUGCAAGUCGAGCGGAUGAAGGGAGCUUGCUCCUGGAUUCAGCGGCGGACGGGUGAGUAAUGCCUAGGAAUCUGCCUGGUAGUGGGGGAUAACGUCCGGAAACGGGCGCUAAUACCGCAUACGUCCUGAGGGAGAAAGUGGGGGAUCUUCGGACCUCACGCUAUCAGAUGAGCCUAGGUCGGAUUAGCUAGUUGGUGGGGUAAAGGCCUACCAAGGCGACGAUCCGUAACUGGUCUGAGAGGAUGAUCAGUCACACUGGAACUGAGACACGGUCCAGACUCCUACGGGAGGCAGCAGUGGGGAAUAUUGGACAAUGGGCGAAAGCCUGAUCCAGCCAUGCCGCGUGUGUGAAGAAGGUCUUCGGAUUGUAAAGCACUUUAAGUUGGGAGGAAGGGCAGUAAGUUAAUACCUUGCUGUUUUGACGUUACCAACAGAAUAAGCACCGGCUAACUUCGUGCCAGCAGCCGCGGUAAUACGAAGGGUGCAAGCGUUAAUCGGAAUUACUGGGCGUAAAGCGCGCGUAGGUGGUUCAGCAAGUUGGAUGUGAAAUCCCCGGGCUCAACCUGGGAACUGCAUCCAAAACUACUGAGCUAGAGUACGGUAGAGGGUGGUGGAAUUUCCUGUGUAGCGGUGAAAUGCGUAGAUAUAGGAAGGAACACCAGUGGCGAAGGCGACCACCUGGACUGAUACUGACACUGAGGUGCGAAAGCGUGGGGGGCAAACAGGAUUAGAUACCCUGGUAGUCCACGCCGUAAACGAUGUNACUAGCCGUUGGGAUCCUUGAGAUCUUAGUGGCGCAGCUAACGCGAUAAGUCGACCGCCUGGGGAGUACGGCCGCAAGGUUAAAACUCAAAUGAAUUGACGGGGGCCCGCACAAGCGGUGGAGCAUGUGGUUUAAUUCGAAGCAACGCGAAGAACCUUACCUGGCCUUGACAUGCUGAGAACUUUCCAGAGAUGGAUUGGUGCCUUCGGGAACUCAGACACAGGUGCUGCAUGGCUGUCGUCAGCUCGUGUCGUGAGAUGUUGGGUUAAGUCCCGUAACGAGCGCAACCCUUGUCCUUAGUUACCAGCACCUCGGGUGGGCACUCUAAGGAGACUGCCGGUGACAAACCGGAGGAAGGUGGGGAUGACGUCAAGUCAUCAUGGCCCUUACGGCCAGGGCUACACACGUGCUACAAUGGUCGGUACAAAGGGUUGCCAAGCCGCGAGGUGGAGCUAAUCCCAUAAAACCGAUCGUAGUCCGGAUCGCAGUCUGCAACUCGACUGCGUGAAGUCGGAAUCGCUAGUAAUCGUGAAUCAGAAUGUCACGGUGAAUACGUUCCCGGGCCUUGUACACACCGCCCGUCACACCAUGGGAGUGGGUUGCUCCAGAAGUAGCUAGUCUAACCGCAAGGGGGACGGUUACCACGGAGUGAUUCAUGACUGGGGUGAAGUCGUAACAAGGU
Molecule: ribosomal RNA, 1470 nt
Filed under: uncultured bacterium
Lineage: Bacteria
Description: 16S ribosomal RNA
Rfam family: Bacterial small subunit ribosomal RNA
Source: RNAcentral